Non-coding RNA from Pelobates cultripes (western spadefoot toad), 301 nucleotides. NCBI's taxonomy places the organism in Eukaryota, Metazoa, Chordata, Amphibia, Anura, Pelobatidae. The record is from the annotation of a GenBank genome assembly.
UGGUGUCUCCUUCUUACAGUCUGCAGCAUUAUCAUAACAUCAACCCUAGCUGUUGUUUUAAAACUGCAUUGGAAUUAUGUUAACAAGCAGGAAGCACCUGAACUGAAUUGGACUGCACACUAUACAAGUUCUGUGAUCGUGAGGACUACCUCCAAGAACCAUCUCAAAAGGAGAGACACAGCUCACAGUGAAAUGAUUGCUAAUGUGACCUACACUGGUAUUUCACAAGGAACCUAUUGAGAUCAUUCCAAAAAACGAUUAUACCUGAGAAAGAUGUGAUUGGACAAUUACAAAUCCUAAU